UACAGAGGUCCCAACCGUUGUUCGGAUUCAUUGGGCGUAAAGGGUGCGUAGGCGGCGGGGCAAGUCAGGUGUGAAAUCUCGGGGCUUAACCCCGAAACUGCACUUGAUACUGCCUUGCUCGAGUACUGGAGAGGAGACUGGAAUUUACGGUGUAGCAGUGAAAUGCGUAGAUAUCGUAAGGAAGACCAGUGGCGAAGGCGAGUCUCUGGACAGUUACUGACGCUGAGGCACGAAGGCCAGGGGAGCAAACGGG
This 253-nucleotide ribosomal RNA is filed under the name uncultured bacterium. Its description in RNAcentral is "partial 16S ribosomal RNA". It matches the Rfam family "Bacterial small subunit ribosomal RNA", at positions 524 to 776 of the family's 1533-position model. The record is from RNAcentral.